RNAcentral lists this ribosomal RNA (757 nucleotides) under uncultured archaeon. RNAcentral describes it as "bacterial SSU rRNA". It matches the Rfam family "Archaeal small subunit ribosomal RNA", at positions 150 to 910 of the family's 1478-position model. The record is from RNAcentral.
ACCCCGAUGGGCCAUGGCUCCUGGAAUGGGCUAUGGCUGAAAUCUACAUGGCCCCAGGAUGGGACUGCGGCCGAUCAGGUUGUUGGUGGGGUAAUGGCCCACCAAGCCUAUAACCGGUGCGGGCUCUGAGAGGAGGAGCCCGGAGAUGGGCACUGAGACAAGGGCCCAGGUCCUAUGGGGCGCAGCAGGCGCGAAACCUCCGCAAUGGGCGAAAGCCCGACGGGGUCAGUCCGAGUGGUUCCCGCUGAGGGAACCUUUUGCCAGCUGUAAACAGGCUGGCGAAUAAGGGGUAGGCAAGUUUGAUGUCAGCCGCCGCGGUAAUACCAGCACCCCGAGUGGUCGGGACGAUUAUUGGGCCUAAAGCAUCCGUAGCCGGCCCAGUAAGUCCUCCGUUAAAUCCAACGGCUCAACCGUUGGGCUGCGGGGGAUACUGCUGGGCUAGGGGACGGGAGAGGCGAGGGGUAUUCCCGGGGUAGGGGUAAAAUCCACUGAUCCCGGGAGGACCACCAGUGGCGAAGGCGCCUCGCUAGAACGUGCCCGACGGUGAGGGAUGAAAGCUGGGGGAGCGAACCGGAUUAGAUACCCGGGUAGUCCCAGCCGUAAACGAUGUAGGCUCGGUGUUGGGCUGCCUCAGUGGCAGCCCAGUGCCGCAGGGAAGCCGUUAAGCCUACCGCCUGGGGAGUACGGCCGCAAGGCUGAAACUUAAAGGAAUUGGCGGGGGAGCACCACAAGGGGUGAAGCCUGCGGUUUAAUUGGA